RNAcentral lists this ribosomal RNA (407 nucleotides) under uncultured bacterium. RNAcentral describes it as "partial 16S ribosomal RNA". It matches the Rfam family "Bacterial small subunit ribosomal RNA", at positions 28 to 526 of the family's 1533-position model. The record is from RNAcentral.
GACGAACGCUGGCGGCGUGCCUAAUACAUGCAAGUAGAACGCAGUUGCGAACGGGUGAGUAACGCGUAGGUAACUGCCUCAUAGCGGGGGAUAACUAUUGGAAACGAUAGCUAAUACCGGAUACUGUGAGAGGGACCUGCGUUGUAUUGGCUAGUUGGUGAUGUAAAGGCUCACCAAGGCGACGAUACAUAGCCGACCUGAGAGGGUGAAUGGGCACAAUGGGACUGAGGAAAGGCCCAGAAGUCUUACGGGAGGAGGAGGUGGGAAAUGUUGGAAAAGGGGCGAAGUCUGAACGAACAACGGCGGGUGGGGGGAGAAGGUUUUCCGAUUGGAAAGACCCGUUGUUUGGGGAGCGGUAACUAACCAGAAAGCGACGGCUAACUACGUGCCAGCAGCCGCGGUAAUUC